UUUCUCUCUUAUUUUGAAAGGUUUACAUGAAGAGGGAGAAUGCCGGCAACUGGAAUUCUGGCCUGAAAGUGGAGCAAAGUUGAGAUACCUAUUCUACGCAACUCCAAACGCCGUGAAAAUCAACGAGGAUUUUUUUCCGGAUUUAUCAAACAUACUGGGCCGAAGAAGUGCCAGAGGGGCGUCAGGGGUUGGCCACAAGCCUGCACGGCGCGGCCACCCCCCAGGCCGCGCCAUGAGGGCUUGUGGGCAACCUGCUGGCCCACUUUCCCCCCUCUUCUUCUAUAUGAAGGGUUUCGUCUGGAAAAAAAAUCAUGGAGGAGCUUUUUCGUGGAUUCGCUGCCGCCACGAGGCGGAACUUGAGCAGAACCAAUCUAGAGCUCCGGCAGGACGAUCCUGCCGGGGAAACUUCCCUCCCGGAGGGGGAAAUCGUCGUCAUCGUCAUCACCAACACUCCUCUCAUCAGAGGGGACUCGUCACCAUCAACAUCUUCAUCAGCACCAUCUCAUCUCCAAACCCUAGUUCAUCACUUGUAACCAAUCUCCGUCUCAUGACUCCGAUUGAUACUUGUAAGGUUGCUAGUAGUGUUGAUUACUCUUUGUAGUUGAUUCUAGUUGGAUUAUUUUGUGGAAGAGUUUAUGUUCAGAUCCUUGAUGCUACUCAUUACCUCUCUGGUCAUGAAUAUGAUUAUGCUUUGUGAGUAGUUACUUUUGUUCCUGAGGACAUGGGAUAAGUCAUGCUAAUAGUAGUCAUGUGAAUUUGGUAUUCGCUCGGUAAUUUGAUAUGUUGUAUGUUGUUUUUCCUCUAGUGGUGUUAUGUGAACGUCGACUACAUAACACUUCACCAUUAUUUGGGCCUAGAGGAAGGCAUUGGGAAGUAGUAAGUAGAUGACGGGUUUCUAGAGUGACAGAAGCUUAAACCCUAGUUUAUGCGUUGCUUCAUAAGGGGCUGAUUUGGAUCCACUAGUUUAAUGUUAUGGUUAGACUUUGUCUUAAUUCUUCUUUCGUAGUUGCGGAUGCUUUCGAGAGGGGUUAAUCAUAAGUGGGAUGCUUGUCCAAGUAAGGACAGUACCCAAGCGCUGGUCCACCCAGAUAUCAAACUAUCAAAGUAACGAACGCGAAUCAUAUGAACAUGAUGAAAACUAGCAUGACAGAAAUUCCCGUGUCUCCUCAGGACCGUUUUUUCCUCCUAUAAGACUUUGUCCAGGCUUGUCCCUUGCUACAAAAGGGAUUGGGCCACUUUGCUGCACGGUUUCUACUUUUGUUACUUGUUGCUCGCUACGAAUCAUCUCACCACACAAACGCUUGUUACCAACGAUUUUAGUGCGUGCAGAUUUUACCUUGUUGAAAACCACUUGUGAGAUCCUUCUGCUCCUCGUUGGGUUCGACACUCUUACUUAUCGAAAGUACUACGAUUGAUCCCCUAUACUUGUGGGUCAUCAUAGGCUGCAUGGAGCCACCAGGCCAACCUCUCACCAACGAUGCCACCCUAGGGGUACACACCCUCGCCUGGCUACUCCGACGACGACGCACAUGUUUCAACCCCAACACCACCUUCCCGCAUGGCACGCCGCAGCGUUCCUCCCCCAUCAGCUUCAUCCACAACCCGCGCACUCCCUCCACCGUGUUCAACGCCGGCCUCAACACCCAGUACAGCUACUCGCCGCUAGCGUACUCGUCAGCCUCGCCUACGUCUCCUCUGCAUCAUGGUGCCCUUCCAUUCAUGCCCGGUUCAGCGCUACAGUUUAGCCACAUCAAUGCCGACAUGGACGAGAUCAUGAAGAGCGGCUCCGUCGCCGCCACGUCCUACCUGGGAUUCGGCGUUCAGGAUGAAACAAGGGACACCGCCGGCGACAUUGAUGAUGAGCUCCACGAUGCCGAGGAGGAGGGGGAGUAAGAGCAGGUGGAGGUGGAACCAGAACCAGCGCCGAAGAGGAGGGGGAAGAAGAAGCUGACGUCGAAUGCCAAGCCAGCCAAACCCCACAUCAAGUGGACGUCCAAGGAAGACGAGUGCCUUGUCGAAGCGUGGAAGACCGUCAUCAUCGAUCCAAUCACCGUCGUGAAUCAAAACACCAACACAUACCGGGGGAGAAUCAAGACGGCGUUUGACAAACGCAAGCUGGUCGACCCCGACUUCGUCAACAUCCACAUGGACCAUGGCGAGAAGGCCAUGUCGAACCACUGGUCGACGAUCCAGACGGCCUGCAACAAGUGGCAUGGGAUCAUUGAGGAGGUCGCUGCUCGCCUUGAAAGCUGUGCCAACGUCGAGGGUCACGUAUGGACAUAGUUCGCCGGCCCCGGUUCGUCGUGUCGCCGUGUACUUUGCCGACAUGUUUUGUUCGCAAUUAUGCAGAUGGUUCAGAUGUUCGCCAUGUAUCUCCAAGACAACGAGGACCAAGAGUUCAAGUUCCUUCACGUGUUCUCCAGGAUCGUGUCGUGUGAGAAGUGGAGGGAAGUUCGGCUCGCUCGCAACAAGGCCAAGGAGACCUACAACCCAGACGCGCUUGUCACGGCUGCGGCAGAAGGGCACCCCAAUGGCACCAAAAAUGCCAGGGCACGACGCCCGCUGCCGAACGGCUGCAAUCAUCGAUCGAGCAAUGCAUCACCGACGCUAAAAGCAGUGCUGCCAGGAGGGAGGAGAAAUCCGACGCGUGGUAGACGACGUUGAUGACGAACUAGCACGUCAAGCUCGGCCUUCUUAGGACCAACGUCAUUACAAAGAAGAGGAAUACCGACCUAGCGUUCUUGAUGGGGGCAGACACAUCAACGAUGGACAAGCAGGUGAAGGUGUGGUACCUUGUGAAGCGCGACCUCAUCUUAAACCAGAUGCCCGCACCGGCGGCGACCACAACGGUGACGACGGCAACGCCCAUCCCGAACGCAGAAACCACGCCGACGAAGAGCCCGGCCGCGGCCAGUCUCGUGACAGAGGAUCUGCACUAUGUUGAGCCGGACGUUUGUUUCAUUUCAUACCUAUUGCCCCUUCCUUUUGACCGCCAAACUAUUGGGUGUGUUCGAUCGCUGAACUAUGGCAUUGCUGAUCGUCGACUUGUGGCAUGAUGAUCAUCAAACUCGUGGUGUAUUUUUGGCAGCGGGAAAGACAAAUUUGAAAUAGUUGGCGUGUGGGGGCAGAAACCUGGGGGUGUGUUUGGAAACUCGCUCACCCCCAGGGCGAAAAAGCGUCGGCGCAACGCCAAAAAGGCAUUCGACGGGUGCGCUCGGGGCCAAACGACUGGAGUUGCUCUCAGAAGAGCUGGUUGAUAGUGUUGAGUAAAUAGGCAAUUUUUCGAGUAGAUUAAUCCACGAGAUAAUAACUAGCACGGUAUUGACUAGAAUAAUUUCAUAUUGAUCAUGAACUAAUCUAGCACAUACUACGCAUAUAGUUGAUACAUCUAUGCAUGCAAGUAGUACUGCUAGGAACGAAACGAACAAGAGUGGGAUAAAUAUGUUAUACCCUCCGGUUGGCCACUUGGCCGUAGCAGCAGCAUUGGCGGCGGUAGCAUCCUCUGCCGCCUUCUUCUCAGCUUCAAGGGCGAGACGAUCGACCUCGGAUGGUUCAGCCAUGGUGAUGACAAGGACGACGUGGAUGUAGAGGAAGCAAACGGACGGAGGCGAGUAGCCGCGUGAUUGCUCCCCAAAAACCUAAUCGCCCCUCUCCCGUACAGGAACCGGUGAGGCGGGGUUUCGAAGGCCUGCUAUCCCGUCGACCGUGUACGCGGUGAACGGGACGGAGUCGUCGGCGGCAGCAACAGCAAAGGAACGAGCGCGUGAGGCAGAGGCGAUCUAAUCUCGUGACGGCUAGGGUUGGCGUUAGCUCUACUUAUAUAGGCGGCCGGGCGAAGAGACGUGGGCUGAACCCACGGCCGAGUCGGUAACAGCCCACGAUCCACGUCUCAGAUCAUGGCGCGUCCGUUACGUAUUCUCCGAUCCUGACCGGCGAAAAUAAGCGCGUAGGUAUGAGAUCGGCUCAGCUCAUUCCCGCAACCCGCGGCGCGUCGUGACGAGGCGUGGAGUGGCUUGGCGAGGCGGGCUGCGGAGGAGUGCGCGAGGGCCUCUUCUCUUCUCACUCUCCAAUAGCAUGUACAAGAGAGACCCUUAUAAAGGGGUCUGAUGACCCACAAGUGUAGGGGAUCUAUCGUAGUCCUUUCGAUAGGUAAUAGUGUUGAACCCAACGAGGAGCAGAAGGAACUGACAAGUGGUUUUCAGCAAGGUAUUCUCUGCAGGCACUAAAAUUAUCGGUAACAGAUAGUUGUGUGAUAAGAUAAUUCAUAACGAGUAGCAAGUAACAAUAGUAACAAAGGUGCAGCAAGAUGGCCCAAUCCCUUUUGUAGCAAGGGACAAGCCUGGAUGAACUCUUAUAUGAGGUAAAGUGUUCCCGAGGACACAUGGGAAUUUCUGUCAAGCUAGUUUUCAUCAUGUUCAUAUGAUUCGCGUUCGCUACUUUGAUAGUUUGAUAUGUGGGUGGACCGGUGCUUGGGUGUUGUCCUUACUUGGACAAACAUCCCACUUAUGAUUAACCCCUCUCGCAAGCAUCAGCAACUACGAAAGAAGAAUUAAGACUAAGUCUAACCAUAGCAUUAAAUUAGUGGAUCCAAAUCAGCCCCUUACGAAUCAACACGUAAACUAGGGUUUAAGCUUCUGUCGCUCUAGCAACCCAUCAUCUACUUAUUACUUCCCAAUGCCUUCCUCUAGUCCCAAAUAAUGGUGAAGUGUCAUGUAGUCGACGUUCACAUAACACCACUAGAGGAAAGACAACAUACAACGCAUAAAAAUAUCGAACGAAUACCAAAUUCACAUGACUACUUAUAGCAAGACUUAUCCCAUGUCCUCAGGAACAAAAGUGACUACUCACAAAGCAUAAUUAUGUUCAUGAUCAGAGAGGUAUUGAAUAGCAUUAAGGAUCUGAACAUAUGAUCUUCCACCGAGUAAUCCAAGUAGCAUCAACUACAAAAAGUAAUUAACACUACUAGCAACCUUACAAGUACCAAUCGGAGUCGCGAGACGGAGAUGGUUACAAGAGAUGAACUAGGCUUUGGAGAUGAGAUGGUGCUGAUGAAGAUGUUGAUGGAGAUGAGUCCCCUCCGAUGAGAGGAGUGUUGGUGAUGACGAUGGUGACGAUUUCCCCCUCCGGGAGCGAAGUUUCCACGGCAGGACGGCCCUGCCGGAGCUCUAGAUUGAUUGUGCUCAAGUUCUGCCUCGUGGCGGCGGUGAUUCCUCCCGAAAGCCUCCUCCUGAUUUUUUCUGGGACGAAACCCUCCUCAUAGCAAAAGAUGGGAGCCGGAGGGGCAACAGGGGGCCCACAAGCCACCGAGGCGCGCGCCAAGGGGUAGGUCGUGCCUGGCAGGCUUGUGGCCUCCGGGUGGCUCCCCUCCGGUACUUCUUCCACCCAGUAUUUUUUAUAAAAUCCAAAAUAAUUCCUCGUUGUUUUUUCACGGCUUUUGGAGUUGUGCAGAAUAGGCAUCUCAAACUUGCUCCUUUUCCAGCCCAGAAUUCCAGCUGCCGGCAUUCUCACUCUUCAUGUAAACCUUAUAAAAUAAGAGAGAAAAGGCAUAAGUAUUGUACCGUAAAGUGUAAUAACAGCCCAUAAAGCGAUAAAUAUCAACAUAAAAGUAUGAUGCAAAAUGGACGUAUCUACUCCCCCAAGCUUAGACCUUGCUUGUCCUCAAGCGGAAGCCGAGAUCAAUAAAUAUGCCCACAUGUUUAGAGAUAGAGGUGUCGAUACAACAAAAUACGGACAUGCAGGCAUCAUGAUCAUAUUUAGAACAACAAUAUCGUCAUAUAAUCUCUUAUGCUAAAGUGACAAUUCCUUCACAAAGUAAAGUAUGGAUCAAGAACCUUAUUGAGAAUUAACAACCAAUAGCCUUUAGUCAUUGAAGCAAUUGCAAUUUAUCAUAAAAUCAGAAAGAGGCAAAUAUGAUCUUGUAAAGCAAAUUCACAUACUCAAUCAUCCUUUCGUCUUCUACAAUUGCUAAAACUCACGUGGUACUCAUGAGAUCAAAGUUUCAGUUGGACACAGAGAAAGAUAGGGGCUUAUAGUUUCGCCUCCCAACUAUUUACCUCAAGGGUAAUGUCAACAAUAACAAUUCAUGAAUACUUACUUCCAAGUUUACAUAUGAAUAUAGAUCUUUCCCUAGCACAUGACGCUUGCCAAGAUAAUGGCGAAAUAAGGAAUUGGUGUCGAUCACCACGACUCUUUUAAGGAUAAAAAGUAAAGGUACAAGAUAGGCCCUUCGCAGAGGGAAGAAGAGGUUGUCAUGCACUUUUGCGGUUUGUAUGUGUGACCUCUUAGUGUGAAGGAACGUCACUUUAUAUUGCCUCCUGUGAUAAAGAACUUUAUUAUGCAGUCUUGAAAAGGAUCGAGAUGGACCUAGAGGGGGGUGAAUAGGUACAAAUCCAAAUUUUAAUAAUUACUUAGCAAUUUUAGGCAAAAGUGCGGAAUAUGAGUGUAAGCCUAAUAAUUGCUACGACAAGGAGUAAGCUAUUUAGAGUGAAGUAAGACAAGCGGUAAACAAUAAUCAAAUACAAGUACGUAAUAAGGAUUAACACAAGUAGAGAGUUAGGGUUAGGAAUAACCGGAACUCCAAGAGAGACAAGGAUGUAUCCCGAUGUUCACUUCCUUGGAGGGAAGCUACAUCACCGUUAGAGGGGCGGAUGUUACCACGAAGGCACACCAACGCCACGAAGGCUCACCUUAUUCUCCCUUUGAGAUAACUCCACGAAGGCAUUUCUCAACCACUAGUGGUAAGCCUUGAGGUGGCUUCCAAACCUUCACAAACUUUCCGGGGGAUAUCACAAUGGUUUGAUUCCUCUCCAAAGACUCCUACCGCCUAGGAGUCUCCAACCUCCAAGAGUAACAAGAUCACGGGGAUUGCUCAAAACUUGUUCAAAUCACAAAUCACUUUGGUGGGAAGGAGGAGAGGGAGACGAUCUAUCUUUUGAUUGGAACAACACUCAAAGGGACUCACAAAUGCUCUUGGGAUCUAGGAUUUGGUGUAGACAAGAGUGAGUGAGAGUAAAGGUGUUCUUGGGUGUAUUCUAGCUGUGUUGAACACCCUUUCACGAGGUGGGAGAAGAGUAUAUAUAGUGGGGAGUGAAAUACAGCCGUUGGGACACUUUAAGUCACACAGGGUCCAGACGUCCGACAGUUGCCGGAAGUCCGGGCGUCCGCGAGGGGUCGGACGUCCGACAGGGGUCGGUCGUCCGAGGCCUGUAGAUACGACUAAAGCUGUUUUGAAUUGAACAGCGACCAGACGUCCGGAGAGGACUAGAAAUCCGAGUUAUACGACUCAACUUCUUCUGGUGGUAGGUUCCGGAUUUCCAAAGGGUGUCGGACGUCCGGCCCUCGGACGUCCGGAGGGAGCCGGAAAUCCGAGUUAUAGAACUCAACUUCUACUCGUGCAGGGUUCCGGAUUUCCGGGGCUGGUCGGACGUCCGANGAGUGAGAGUAAAGGUGUUCUUGGGUGUAUUCUAGCUGUGUUGAACACCCUUUCACGAGGUGGGAGAAGAGUAUAUAUAGUGGGGAGUGAAAUACAGCCGUUGGGACACUUUAAGUCACACAGGGUCCAGACGUCCGACAGUUGCCGGAAGUCCGGGCGUCCGCGAGGGGUCGGACGUCCGACAGGGGUCGGUCGUCCGAGGCCUGUAGAUACGACUAAAGCUGUUUUGAAUUGAACAGCGACCAGACGUCCGGAGAGGACUAGAAAUCCGAGUUAUACGACUCAACUUCUUCUGGUGGUAGGUUCCGGAUUUCCAAAGGGUGUCGGACGUCCGGCCCUCGGACGUCCGGAGGGAGCCGGAAAUCCGAGUUAUAGAACUCAACUUCUACUCGUGCAGGGUUCCGGAUUUCCGGGGCUGGUCGGACGUCCGACCCUUGGUUGUCCGGAGGUAGCCGGAUUUCCGAGUUAUAUGACUCACAAACUUCUGGUGAAGGGCUGCGGAUUUCCGAAGCCUGUCGGUCGUCCGGCCCUCGGACGUCCGGAGGGAGCCGGAUGUACGAGGCUAUAGACUUGUUUUGAUAUAAGAAUAGAGUGGAGAAUAUGUGGUAUUUGGAAUGACAAUAAAGAUGUGGUAUGAGCAAGUUCAUCGCAAAACAUGUGAUCCCCUCUUAAUAGUGCGGGAUCCCUAUACUCAAUAUCAGUAAACUCAAAAGACCAGUCUUCAUCAUCUUUUCUUAAUCCCGAGCCUUCUCGAAAUAUAAAUCCCCAAUCUUCUCAGACAACCUUUGGCACAUAAUUCUCAAUCUACUAAAGUACUUGCCAUCCUGAGAUACACUCAACAAAUAGGAUUAGUUUCCUAUGUAUGUGUUGUCAUUAACACCAAAAGACGAUUAGGGGCAUAGCAUGCACUUUCAAUCUCCCCCUUUUUGGUAGUUGAUGACAACAUAUACAUAGGUCUCAAAAAGAUUUAACAUACAUUAUAGUCUAGGAGAUAUUUAGUACGGAGCUCCCCCUUAGUAUAUGCAUGAUAAAAUCAUCGAAGCUCCAAUGGAUCAACAUGUAAAGAUAAUAGAUCAUCAUAGAAGUAGUGGAGCAAAACAUAAUAGUCUAUGAUGAUAUCAUAGCAAUCCAUAGCAAAUCACAAUCAUUCAUAAGUAUCCAUACAUGAGUUUGAGUUUAUCCAUUACAUUAAAUCUCCAAAGACUAAAAACUACGAUACAUUACUCCCGCUUUGGCACCAAGUACCAAAAAGGGAGCCAUCAACAGUACCAAUCACGCUCAGAGCUCAUCACCAUCAUCAUCAGCAUCAUCAGGCAAGCCACUGCCACCAGCCUCGUCAAGGAAAUCAGACCACUCAGGACCAGAUGGGAAACCAAAAUAAGUAGGAGGAGCAGCAGGAGGGGCCUCAUCAUCACUCACAUCAAGAGCGCCCGAGGCUCUCAGACGAGCCUUGAGGGCAUUCUUGGAGGAGACUAAGCAAGAAACCACAUCAUGGGUUUGACCACACUGGAAAGAGACGGCCUUCAUCAAAGCAGAAUGUGCCUUGCCAAGGAAUUUGGCAAUUCGACCGAGAGGAGCGGAGCUAGAUGAGGGGGUGGCGGCCCGUGCAGCAGUGCGGCGAGUGGAUGUGGAGGACGAGGGGGCUUUCUUGGGAGCAUAGUCAUCCGCCAUGUGAGCGGGAAUGACCCACUUGCGAUGUGUGUGAGUGACAGCCACAGAGAAAUCAGCAACAUGGUUAAUAAGAGCCUGGAUGAAAGGGGCGUGAGGAAAGGCUCGCUUGUACUGAAAGCUAGCAAGCCGAAUCUCAUGCCAUAGAAAAUGAGGCACAUUGAUUUUGCUCUUGGGGUGCUCGAACAAGUGAGACAUGAUGUCGAUACAAUAGCCACUGCAAGAACCCUUAUCACCCAUCUUGGGAUAGAUGGUGCGGAUGAGACACUGAAAAAUGAUGAAGUAAGGUGACCGCCAGAUGGAUACCUGGUUAAGGUCCUUCAUGCGUUCAUCCGCAUCAAGCUUAGUUAGUGGCUUGAGAAGAUACCCACAUGCGUCAAUGGACUUAGGCGCAUGGUUAGGAUCAUCCCUAUGUAUUUUGAAACCGGAAUUGGGGAAACCAAGUGCGGCAACAAAUGUAUCAUAAGAAGCUGUGAAGCGAAUGUCGGAGGUGAUCCAGCUGACAGUGUGGUUUGGACCAAAGUGACAUGUGGCAUAGAACUGGUGAAUGGCAGCAACAUUAAAGUCGCAAUGAAAGGCAAACGGGGCGGCAAGCCCCGAUGCCUCAAUAAGCUCAAUGGCACCCGGAUAUUUCGUCGGGUGCAUGCGAAUAUGCUCAACAUCAAUAUAGAGAUGAUUAGAUAACCCCUUAGGAACUAUGACAGUGGUAAAAAUGCCCGCCUGGACGUGUGUGCGAAAACGUGAGUCCAUAGAGUCACGUACGACAGCGUAUUGAUCAAUGUCGCGGCGGAAAGUGAGAUAUGAAGCUGCGUCAAGUGUGGUGAAGUUUGUGAUUGCACGACCUAAAGUGGCAGGAGGUUCUAGUGAGAUGCGGCGAGCUUCACCUGCGGGCUGGGCAGGAGGAGUUUGUGGCAUGUAUGACGCCCUGCGAGUCCCGGUCUUUGGCUUGGACCUACGAUCGACGUGCUGGCCAGGAAGGUCCUCGGCGGCAAGCUCCUCCUCGAAGUCAGAGUCAUCACCAUCGGACGACGAGGGGCGUUGUGGAGACGGAGAACGCCGGGCCGGAGAACGCCGGGCAGUCCGUUUGAAGGGACGACGGGGCUCAUCCGAUUCCGACCCCGUGCUAGCAGGGGCGCGAGAUGAUGAGCCAGCCACGCUCUUCCGAGCGAUGUGCUUGGUCUUGCCCAUGUAGCACAAAAACCUACGCGGAUGAAAAAUCCCCAAAUGAGGAAUGAACAUGGAGAUUCAUGGGAGAGGGAGAAAACCAAAACAAACGCGAAAGGAGACGGACGAGCGACCUGAGGACGGAUUCCACGGAGGAGAUCGGCCCGAUCUCGAGUUUGGCGGCACAGGCAGGAGCUCCUCGAGCUGGCGGCGGCGGCUGUGGUAGGGAAAAGGGGCGCUGAGGGUUAGGGCAAGAGCCCAGCCCCCGCACCCAGCUAUAUAUAUAGGCCCGAGGCGUCGGACGUCCGACAGGCGUUGGACGUCCGGAGGUGAUUGUGGCGUCGGACGACCGGAAGGGAAUUUGCCGCCGGACGUCCGAGACAUGACGGACGUCCGAGAGGGAGGAGGAGGCAGAGGCUGAUUCUGGAUUUUUUUGUUUUGAUGGUGAGAUGAUGACUUGCAUGGUUUCUCACAAAAAAAAUACGUACAUAGUAGCCUACAAGCAUUACAUGUACUACUUGGGGACAGAAAUUGAUUUAUGCAUACAUUGUAAGCUUUAAAAACAGAAAAUUUAGACUCACUCCCCCUAAAUGCAUGCCCACAUCAAGACACGAACAUAAUGUGAGUGUGUGUAUGUGUGCACGGUUUCAAGAUAUGUUGUCAAGCUCCAAGAUACCAAGUUCACGCCUAAGUUGACAGAACCUAGCAACGCUAAGUGGCUUGGUGAAGAUGUCGGCUAACUGCAUGUCGGUACCCACAUGGGUAAUAUCAAUGUCACCCUUUUGCACAUGGUCUCUCAAGAAAUGAUACCUAAUAUCAAUAUGUUUUGUGCGAGGGUGAUCAAUGGGGUUCUCGGAGAUCUUUAUGGCACUUUCAUUAUCACAGAGAAGAGGAACGUGUCGAUACGUGAUACCAUAAUCCUUUAGUGUUUGACUCAUCCAUAGCAGUUGGGUUGCACAGCUUGCGGUGGCAAUAUAUUCGGCCUCGGCCGUGGAGAGAGAAACACAGUUCUGCUUUUUUGAGGACCAACUUACCAAGGAGUGUCCAAGAAACUGACAUGCACCAGAAGUGGAUUUCCGCCCCACUUUAUCACCGGCCCAAUCCGCAUCGGAAUACCCAAUAAGAUCAAACUUUGCAUCCUUAGGGUACCAUAAGCCUAACUUUGGGGUGUGAACAAGGUAUCUAAUAAUAUGCUUAACCGCCGUGUGAUGGCUUUCCCUAGGGGGAGCUUGAAAUCUAGCACAUAUGCCUACACUUAACAUGAUGUCCGGUAUAGAUGCACAAAGAUAAAGUAGCGAACCAAUCAUGGAGCGGUAAGUAGAUGGGUCAAAAGGAAUACCGUUUGUGUCUUCAUUUAGAACUACAUCGGUGGCCAUGGGUGUCUUCAUUGGUUUAGCAUUCGUCAUAUCAAUUUUUUCAAGAAUGUCCUUGAGGUACUUAGUUUGAGACAAGAAAAUCCCUUCUUGAAAUUGUUGUAUUUGAAAACCAAGAAAGAACUUCAAGUCCGUGUUGAGUGACAUCUCAAAGGUCUUGGUCAUGGAGGCCGCAAACUUCUUGCAUAAAUGGAUGUUAGGAGAACCAAAAAUGAUGUCAUCUACAUAGAUUUGGCAUAAGAUCAAAUCACCAUUUUCCCUCUUAGUAAAAAGAGUGGGAUCGAUCACCCCCACCACAAAGCCAUCAUCGAGUAGGAACUUCUUAAGAUGAUCGUACCAAGCACGGGGUGCUUGUUUGAGGCCAUACAGAGCCUUGUGAAGUUUAUAUACAUGGUCUUUGUGGUGAGGGUCAACAAACCCAGGUGGUUGUGAUACAUAUACCUCUUCUUGUAGAGGACCGUUAAGAAAAGCACUUUUCACAUCCAUUUGAUGCAAAGUAAAACCAUUGAAAGCAGCAUAGGCCAAUAAAAUGCGAAUGGACUCAAGACGAGCAACAGGGGCGAAAGUUUCACCAAAGUCCAAACCUUCAACUUGGGAAUACCCCUGUGCUACUAACCUUGCCUUGUUGCGUAGGACAGUCCCAUUCUCAUCUUCCUUGUUCUUGAAAAUCCAUUUAGUUCCAAUGAAAUUAUGUCCCUCAGUUGGUUGUUCUACCAAUGACCACACUUCGUUGCGUGUAAAGCUGUUUAGCUCCUCUUGCAUAGCAAGGAGCCAGUCAUUGUCACACAAUGCAUCCUGAACCCUGUGUGGCACGGUACUAGAGACAAACGAAAAGUGAGCACAAAAGUUUGUUAAUUGUUUACGAGUCACUCUACCUUCCGACACGCCGGUGAGGAUUUGAUCAAUAUCAACACGACCAGCCACACGUGGCAUGAUGGAGGUCAAGGUUUCACGAGGUUCAACUUCGUUUCCAUCAUCAACGUCCUCAGCAUAUGGAUCAUUUAUGUGCGGAGGAAGAUAUUCCUCUUCGUGUUGCACCUGUUGAGGUUCAUCAUCAAACAUACCCAUACUUUGGUCUACCUCUUGAAGAUCCACUUGUUCUUGAGUCUGAUCAGGGUGAGAGACAUGUUCUCCCACUUGAUCCUCAACAACUGGCAUGAUGUGUGUGCUAGUAUCUUGUGGAGGUACGGGCAGUGAACUGUCUUGAAGAUGAGAAAUACUCUCAUCAUCUUCAUCAUCAUCAUGGGGUCUUUGUUCCAUGGGAAGAAGUGCACCUACACCCAUGUUUAGGAUAUCUUGUGGGGAGUCUUCUUCACCUGCAUCAUUUAGAUCAACUUGCUCCCCAUGGGAGCGGUUAAAUUCAUCAAACGUCACGUCACAGGUUUCUAUAACACAUCCAGUGGAUUUGUUGUAGACUCUGUAGGCGUGAGAGUUUGACCCAUAGCCAACAAAAAUCCCUUCAGUUGUUUUGGAUUGAAAUUUUCCUAACCGUUCCCGUUUGUUGAGAAUGAAACAUUUGCAUCCAAACACAUGAAAGUACUUAACAUUGGGCUUGUUCCCAGUUAGGAUCUCAUAUGGAGUCUUCUCCAAUAUUGAUCGAAGGAAGAGCCGGUUUGAUGCAUGACAUGCUGUGUUGACGGCCUCAGCCCAAAAACUAUGUGGUGACUUGUAUUCGUCUAACAUGGACCUUGCCAUUUCCACAAGUGUACGGUUCUUCCUCUCUGCCACACCAUUUUGUUGAGGGGUGUAAGGUGCGGAGUACUGAUGUUCAAUUCCCUCAUCACUAAGAAAUUCUUCUAGGGUGUAGAUCUUGAACUCAGAGCCAUUAUCACUUCUUACUGCCUUGAUGUCCUUGUCAAACUUCUGUUGGGCUUGUUUGGCAAAGUCAAUGAAGGUGAUCUUCGUCUCGUCCUUGGACUUGAGAAAGAACACCCAUGUAUAUCUUGAGUAAUCAUCAACAAUGACUAGGCCAUACUUUUCCCUCCAAGACUUGCCCAUGAAGGAGGCCCAAACAGAUCCACAUGAAGGAGCUCUAACGGCCUCGAAGUGGAUACAAUGUUCUUGGGUGGAUGUCUUGAUUGAUGUUGUUUCCCAGCUAUGCAUGCACUGCACACACGAUCUUUCUUAAAAGAUACAUUUGUUAGUCCAAGGAUGUGAUUGCCGUUUAAGAGAUUUUGAAGAUUUUUCAUGCCAACAUGGGCGAGCCGGCGAUGCCACAGCCAUCCCAUGUCGGCCUUGGCCAUUAGACAAGUUGUAUAGAAGGUGCUCUCUUUCGAGAAGUCAACCGUCUAAAGGUUGCCAUCCAACUCUCCAACAAAGGCCACUUCAAGAGUGUCUCUCUUAAAGACUUUCACAUCCGUUAGUCCAAAUAAUGUGUCAUAACCGACGGAAGCCAAUUGGCAAACUGAAAGUAAAUGAUAUUGAAGAGAUUGGACAAGCAUGACAUUUGCAAUAGACAUGUAAUUUGUGAUUGCCACCUUGCCCAACCCAAUUACAUGCCCUUUCGACCCUCCACCAAAUACAAUGCUCAUGUAUGGUCGAAUGGCUUGCAUGAAGUCAUAGAGCAAGUUACUAUCUCCGGUCAUAUGAUUGGUGCAUCCACUGUCGAUCACCCAUUUGGCUCCUCCGGAGAAAACAGCCUGUAACGAAUUAAGACUUGGUUUGAGGUACCCAUUUUGUCAUGGGGCCUUUCACAUUAGUUAUAAGAGUCUUAGGGACCCAAAUAGCAUAGAACCGGAAUGCAUUACGAGGACCAACGAAUUUAGCAUAGACCUCUCCUUCCUUUGAUUUGCGUAGUACAUAGGAUGGAGGCAUGAAUUCGGUUGUCUUGUUGUGAGUAAACGAACCCCUAGUGGCCGAUCCACUCACAACCUUACCUUUCUCUAUGUGUCCCUCUCGUACAAAUAUUCCUUUAAGCGGAGUGGUACACUUGAGAGGAGAUGCACUUAUCUUGGCAGUGCUUGGGUUGAACCCAAGCCCUUCCUUGGCGAAGCCUCCAUUGUGUCGACUUAAGAUCUCAUUGAGAGUCUUUUGUCCUUGUGCACAUGUCAUGAGACCUCUGUCUAGCUGUGCCUUUAGCAAACAGUUUUCCUCAAGGAUAGAUGUCAGUUCACUACUAGAGUUAGUAGUGCAGGUAUCAACAUUAAUAAUAGGUGAGGAGUAGGCCUUAGCUAGAGUGUCAAGAUAAGUGACCUUAAGUGCCUCAAAGCUCUUUGUAAGAACAGUAAGUUUCUCUUCCUUGUCUUUGAGAGACAAGGAUAGACGCUCACAGUCCUUAGAAAGGGAAGCAUGAGAGUUCACAAGUCGGUCUUUAUCAUUUAGUAAUUCUUUGCACACAGAUUCAGCCUUUUUCAAGGAGGCAAGAUCAUUAGCAUGUUUAUCAAGGUUUUCACCUACUUUUGAACAUAGUGCAUCAUUUUGUGCUUCCUCAUACAAGACUUUCUACUCAAGGAUUUUAUUUCUUUCCUUCUCCUCAGUGACGAGGGUUUCGAGUUCCUUGAUGGUAUUGGUGUGCUUACUCACCAUUUCCAUAAGUAUGCGAAACAUAGUGAGCUUCUUUCCUUUAAGAGAGCACAUAAAUUUGUUUAUUUUAGCAAACAUGGGAUGAUCUAAGUCAUUAUCCUCAUAGGGAUCUUCCGCAUCAAGAUACUCAUCAGAUGGAGUAGAAGCUAGACUGAAAGAGUUUAACCGUGGAGUUACCUUAACCUUAUCAUGGGAGCUUUGGUCUUCCUCAUCUCCCAUGGCAGUCUUUGCCAUCAAACACUUGUGAGCGUUGCCCUUGUAGUCCUUCAUAUAGUUGUAGUGAACAACAUCACCACUUUUGUUGACUAGCCUGAGGGUGCUUUGUGUAUCCUGAGCUACUCCGGCAACUCCACCAACAUCUUCUGGAUCUGAUUCUUCUUGUGCAACCAUUGCUCUUCCAUUUGUCCUCUUGAACUUGGAGUUCAUAGGGUUUGGAAACUUCUUCUUUACAAAGGUCUUUGGAAACCUUGGUUUGUCUUCUCUCUUCUCAUAAGGGCAGUCAUUGGAGAAGUGGUUGGUUUCCUCACAGUUAUAGCAUUUCCUUACCUUCUUCUUUGGGAAUCUUCCCUUGAACUUUCCUGCACUGAACUUCUUUACAAAGAGAGCAAUGUCCUCAUAAGACGGGAUUUCAUCAGAGUCAACAUCAUCACCAUCUUCGCAGUCAUCAUCACCCUCUUCUUCUUCAUUUUCUUCUUCGUCACAUUCAUGCUUGGCUUUCAAAGCAAGAUUGAUCUUUGAUGUUGAAGUGCCAUGCAUGGCAAGGUGCUUUGUUGCAUUUGCCUUGGACUCUUCAAAUAAUUGGAAGGUGGAUAUGAUGUCAUCUGGAGUCAUUUCUUUGAACCCAUGGUGCUGCCUCAUGUCCCAUACCAUUUGAUGGUGAUACGGAGCAAGAGCGUGAAGUAACUUGUCCACAAGAAAUCUCUUGGUCAGAUUGAAGCCAUCUUGCGUCUGGUCACAGUCACAUGACUCAAUGUCUGCGGCGAGAGUCAUGAGCUGUUCUAGUAGUUGCUUGGGAGAUUCAACCUUUUCCAUACACAAAUUCUGUAAUUGCCCCUUGGCAAUUUCAUAUUGAGCAAGCCAAAGAGUGGAGGUACUGGUCUUGGUCCUUAUGAUGCUAUCCCACAGUUCCUUGGCACUUGUGAUGUGAAUGUAAGGUCUUCGUUGCUUGUCAUUCAUUCCUUUUCUUAUGCAGAUGAUCACAGUGUCAUUGAGAUGGUUGUCAUAAGUUUCUCUGGGCGUGAGGCACCUUGGAUCUACAGGAUUGUACCCAUGCUCGAGGAUGUCCAACAUCUCAUCAUUGGCGUACCUAAGAUGAUCCUGCAUACCAACUCUCCACAAAGCAAAAUCGGAAUUGUCAUCAAGCAAGGGAGGUUUCCCUCCAGGAUUGUACUUAGGUUUCUCAAUUUGAGAUCUAGCAUAAAGCCAUGGAACACUGGUUUGGUUCCUCUCCGGAGGUGGUUGGCCAAAUGAAGUACCGUGCCCAUGUGGCCCUGAGGCCCUCGGGGACGUGGUUGUCCCCGUGGUUAGUGAUGCUAGUCUCAUUUGGACCAUGGCCUCAAGAUAAGCAUCAUGCUCCUCUUUUUUCUUGGCAAGGGCCCGUUCCAGGUCCUCAGAGGUGAAAGACUUGACUUCCGAGGAAGUCCCUUACCUCUGCACUGGAGCUACCGUAGCUGGUUCCCCGUCCAUCUCGCUCUAGGGCGGUUAAGCCACACGAAUAGAGCACGAGGCUAUGAUACCAAUUGAAAAGGAUCGAGAUGGACCUAUAGGGGGGGGUGAAUAGGUACAAAUCCAAAUUUUAAUAAUUACUUAGCAAUUUUAGGCAAAAGUGCGGAAUAUGAGUGUAAGCCUAAUAAUUGCUACGACAAGGAGUAAGCUAUUUAGAGUGAAGUAAGACAAGCGGUAAACAAUAAUCAAAUAGAAGUAUGUAAUAGGGAUUAACACAAGUAGAGAGUUAGGGUUAGGAAUAACCGAAACUCCAAGAGAGACAAGGAUGUAUCCCGAUGUUCACUUCCUUGGAGGGAAGCUACGUCACCGUUAGAGGGGCGGAUGUUACCACGAAGGCACACCAACGCCACGAAGGCUCACCCUAUUCUCCCUUUGAGAUAACUCCACGAAAGCGUUUCUCAACCACUAGUGGUAAGCCUUGAGGUGGCUUCCAAACCUUCACAAACUUUCUGGGGGAUAUCACAAUGGUUUGAUUCCUCUCCGAAGACUCCUACCGCCUAGGAGUCUCCAACCUCCAAGAGUAACAAGAUCACGGGGAUUUCUCAAAACUUUCUCAAAUCACAAAUCACUUUGGUGGGAAGGAGGAGAGGGAGACGAUCUAUAUUUUGAUUGGAACAACACUCAAAGGGACUCACAAAUGCUCUUGGGAUCUAGGAUUUGGUGUAGACAAGAGUGAGUGAGAGUAAAGGUGUUCUUGGGUGUAUUCUAGCUGUGUUGAACACCCUUUCACGAGGUGGGAGAAGAGUAUAUAUAGUGGGGAGUGAAAUACAGCCGUUGGGACACUUUAAGUCACACAGGGUCCAGACGUCCGACAGUUGCCGGAAGUCCGGGCGUCCGCGAGGGGUCGGACGUCCGACAGGGGUCGGUCGUCCGAGGCCUGUAGAUACGACUAAAGCUGUUUUGAAUUGAACAGCGACCAGACGUCCGGAGAGGACUAGAAAUCCGAGUUAUACGACUCAACUUCUUCUGGUGGUAGGUUCCGGAUUUCCAAAGGGUGUCGGACGUCCGGCCCUCGGACGUCCGGAGGGAGCCGGAAAUCCGAGUUAUAGAACUCAACUUCUACUCGUGCAGGGUUCCGGAUUUCCGGGGCUGGUCGGACGUCCGANGAGUGAGAGUAAAGGUGUUCUUGGGUGUAUUCUAGCUGUGUUGAACACCCUUUCACGAGGUGGGAGAAGAGUAUAUAUAGUGGGGAGUGAAAUACAGCCGUUGGGACACUUUAAGUCACACAGGGUCCAGACGUCCGACAGUUGCCGGAAGUCCGGGCGUCCGCGAGGGGUCGGACGUCCGACAGGGGUCGGUCGUCCGAGGCCUGUAGAUACGACUAAAGCUGUUUUGAAUUGAACAGCGACCAGACGUCCGGAGAGGACUAGAAAUCCGAGUUAUACGACUCAACUUCUUCUGGUGGUAGGUUCCGGAUUUCCAAAGGGUGUCGGACGUCCGGCCCUCGGACGUCCGGAGGGAGCCGGAAAUCCGAGUUAUAGAACUCAACUUCUACUCGUGCAGGGUUCCGGAUUUCCGGGGCUGGUCGGACGUCCGGCCCUUGGUUGUCCGGAGGUAGCCGGAUUUCCGAGUUAUAUGACUCACAAACUUCUGGUGAAGGGCUGCGGAUUUCCGAAGCCUGCCGGUCGUCCGGCCCUCGGACGUCCGGAGGGAGCCGGAUGUACGAGGCUAUAGACCUGUUUUGAUAUAAGAACAGAGUGGAGAAUAUGUGGUAUUUGGAAUGAUAGUAAAGAUGUGGUAUGAGAAAUCUCAUCGCAAAACCUGUGAUCCCCUCUUAAUAGUGCGGGAUCCCUAUACUCAAUAUCAGCAAACUCAAAAGACCAGUCUUCAUCAUCUUUUCUUAAUCCCGAGCCUUCUCGAAAUAUAAAUCCCCAAUCUUCUCAGACAGCCUUUGGCACAUAAUUCUCAAUCUACUAAAGUACUUGCCAUCCUGAGAUACACUCAACAAAUAGGAUUAGUUUCCUAUGUAUGUGUUGUCAUUAACACCAAAAGACGAUUAGGGGCAUAGCAUGCACUUUCAAGUCUGUCGCUUUUAUGUCUUCCUCAUCACAGGUUCAUACAAAGCUUAAUUUCCACACACUAAUAGAUCAUACAUAUUUAGGGAGCAAUUUUUAUUUCUUGCAUCGAUGACAACUUACUUGAGGGAUCUUAUUCAAUCCAUAGGUAGGUGAUAUGUCUCCAACGUAUCUAUAAUUUUUGAUGGUUUCAUGCUAUUAUCUUGUCAAACUUUGGAUGUUUUGUAUGCCUUUUAUAUUUUUUUGGGACUAACCUAUUAACUCAGUGCCAAGUGUCAGUUCCUAUUUUUUCUGUGUUUUUGACCAUUUUCAGAGGAGGAUUGUAAACGGAGUCCAAACAGAAUAAAACUUCCGAAAAGAUUUUUUUACGAAACAGAAGACGAUCAGGAGACUUGAGAACCAAGGCAGAGGGUCACCAGGGAAAAUACUUUUCGCCGCCGCAAGCUUCUGUCUCCGCAAGAUCCCAUCUGGGGCAAGUUCUGGUGUCCUGCCGGAGGGAGGAUUCUGAUACGGAGGGCUCCUUCAUCAACACCAUUACCUCUCCGAUGAUGCGUGAGUAGUUCACCAUAGACCUACGGGUCCAUAGCUAGUAGCUAGAUGGCUUCUUCUCUCUCUUGGAUCUUCAAUACAAAGUUCUCCAUGAUCUUCAUGGAGAUCUAUCCGAUGUAAUCUUCUUUUGCGGUGUGUUUGUCGAGAUGCGACGAAUUGCGGAUUUGUUAUCAGAUUAUCUAUGAAUCUUAUUUGAGUUUCUUCUGAUCUCUUAUAUGCAUGAUUUGAUGUCCUUGUAAUUCUCUUCGAGUUGUGGGUUUUGUUUGGCCAACAUGAUCUAUGAUUCUUGCAAUGGGAGAAGUGCUUGGUUUUGGGUUCAUACCGUGCGGUGACCUCACCCAGUGACAGAAGGGGUAGUGAGGCACGCAUCGUGUUGUUCCAUCAAGGGUAAAAAGAUGGGGUUUUCAUCAUUGGUUUGAGUUUAUCCCUCUACAUCAUGUCAUCUUGCUUAAGGCGUUACUCUGUUCAUCAUGAACUCAACACACUAGAUGCAUGCUGGAUAGCGGUCGAUGUGUGGAGUAAUAGUAGUAGAUGCAGAAAGUAUCGAUCUACUUGUCUCGGACGUGAUGCCUAUAUGUAUGAUCAUUGCCUUAGAUAUCGUCAUGACUUUGCGCGGUUCUAUCAAUUGCUCGACAAUAAUUUGUUCACCCACCGUAAUAUUUGCUAUUUUUAUAGAAGCCUCUAGUGAACACUAUGGCCCCGGGGUCUACUUCACAUCAUAUUUUCAGCCUUACACUUUUACUUCGUUGCAAUUUCCGCCUUCAUAUCUCACUUUGCAAUCAAUCUUGAAGGGAUUGACAACCCCUUUAUAGCGUUGGGUGCAAGCUCUUUUGUGUUUGCGCAUGUACUCUGGACUUGACGUGAUUCUCCUACUGGAUUGAUACCUUGGUUCUCGAACUGAGGGAAAUACUUACUGCUCCUGUGCUGCAUCACCCUUUCCUCUUCAAGGGAAAAACCAGCGCAAGCCAAGUCUCCAUCAACGUGCCAAUUUCUGCCGCUGUUGUCUGUUGCCGUAGCAGUAGGUAUGGUGGACUCUCAUGGCAAAACUGGGUUGAAGGUUUAGGAUGCACAAGUAGUAUCUCUACUUAGUGCGUAAGUUUUGGCUGAUAUGAGGUGGAAGCAAGUGUCACAUGUUAAGGGAUCUCUAGUCAUAUAACAUUGUUCGGAACCAAGCAAACAUAAUUCAUUAUGUUGUCUUCCUUGUCCAACAUCUACUUCUAAGCAUGUAAUAGUUUAAUGAGUGUUCACAAUCAUAGAUGGUCCCAAACAUGAUAUAUUUACAUGUGAACCUCUCUUUCUUUAUUACUUCCUAUUAAUUGUAACAAUGACCAAGGUCUACGUUUGUCCACCCACAACAAGUUUCAAUCAACAUUCUUUUUAUAUGUGAAGCCAUCACUUCCCAUAAGAUCAUUACAUGAUCUUUCAUGCUUUUGUUCUUUUAUUAUUCUUUUCUUUAGAUCAUGGCAUGAAGCAAGGCCCUUAACUAAAACACUCUUUAUUAUAUGACUCACGAACUCGAAUACAUUAGGGGUAACACAAAGCAAAACUCAAGCCUAGAUCAUACUAAGAACUUUAUUCUACUAGAAAAAGAUAAAACCAAAAAGGAUCGAACUAAGAAAAAGGUAAAGGCAAAAGAUGUGAUGGUGAUAACAUACCGGGGCCACUCCCUCAAGCUUGGCACAAGCCAAGGGGAGUGCCCAUACCCGUGGUUAGUUGUCUUCCUUCGAAGGUGACGAUGGUGGAGUUGUUGCAGUCUGGGGUUUAUUCUCCGUCUUCCAAGGUAUAGGUGCUCCAUCAUGGAAAGAUGAUCGAGUCUCCGGAAUCCUCAAAUCUGCAGCCAACCGUAUUGAUUUAAAUCUAUACUCAUACUCAUAGUUUUGGUUCUUCAGGUCGUAGAUCUGGGCUUGGAGGUGAUCAAUUAUGUCAUAGAGCCUGGAGAGGUGCUUCCCGAUGUCAUUGGCAUCGAUCUUGUGCUUGUUGGUGAACUCCGUGAUCAUCAUGUGGUUGGCGUUUAGUCCGUGUUCCACCAUCCCUUGGCACUUGAAGACUUGCUGCUCCAUUGCUUUGAGCCUCGCCUCUAUGCUUUCGGUCUUCUUGGGCCCCUCAACGUCACGGAUGUGCAGCACCCCCUCAUGCAUCUCGAUAGAUUGAAGGUGUUGCAGCACUCCCGCGAGGUAGGGAUUGAUGACCUUCUCGAAGAGCUUGUCCUUCGGAACUUUUGGGGACGCCAUAGCGAUCUAGAUCUGUCUGCACAGCAGCUCGAAACGAAAACACAGGAUAUUUGCGUGAUAAGAGGGUCAGACCUUUCGGGCGAAUAUAUAAUGAAUUUUUCCCGACUAAAAGGAGUAUUCCACCAGAAAAUGGAGUCCGGGAGGCACACGAGGUGCUCACAAGCCACCCAGGCGCGGCCAGGGGUGUAGGCCGUGCCUGGCAGGCUUGUAGCCUCCUCGUGCGCUUUCCGGACUACUUUAAAUCUUUUCUAAAAAUUCCAAAACGGAGAAAAAUUGCUACUCGAAAAGUUUUGGAGUCGGUUUACUUACCGAAUCACAUACCUCUUCAUUUUUGGAGUCUAAAACAGGCUGAUAAAUAUCCCUUAUGUACUCCUCCGGAGUUAUGGUAUUAAUAAUAUUGCUUUCAAUAUUUAUGGGAGUACCUGAGAUAUAAUGCUUGAUUCUUUGCCCAUUUACAACUCUCGGAAAACUACCUUCCGUGUUGUUGAUCUUUAUGGCACCGGAACGAUAUACUUCCUCAACAAUGCAAGGACCUUCCCAUUUAGAGAGAAGCUUGCCUGCAAAAAAUCUUAAACGAGAAUUGUAUAGCAAGACAUAAUCACCUACAUUGAACUCACGUUUUUGUAUCCUCUUAUCAUGCCACCUCUUAACUUUUUAUUUAAAAAACUUGGAAUUUUCAUAUGCCUGAGUUCUCCAUUCAUCAGGAGAGCUAAUAUCAAAUAACCUCUUCUCACCAACAAGUUUGAAAUCAAAGUUGAGCUCUUUGAUUGCCCAAUAAUCCUUAUGCUCUAGCUCAAGAGGUAAAUGACAUGCUUUACCGUAAACCAUUUUGUACGGAGACAUGCCCAUGGGAUUCUUAUAAGCAGUUCUAUAAGCCCCACAGUGCAUCAUCAAGCUUCUUAGACCAAUUCUUUCUAGACCUAUUAAAAGUCUUUUGCAGAAUUAGUUUAAUUUCUCCAUUACUUAGCUCUACUUGACCAGUGGACUGAGGAUGAUAGGGAGAUGCAAUUAUGUGGUUUACAUCAUACUUCAAGCGUUUUACGGAAAGGACCAUGAAUAAAAUGUGAACCACCAUCAGUCAUUAAAUAUCUAGGGACUCCAAAUCUAGGGAAAAUAACUUCUUUAAGCAUCCUAAUAGAGGUGUUAUGAUCAGCACUACUAGUUGGGAUAGCUUCUAGCCACUUAGUAACGUAAUCAACAGCAACUAGGAUAUGAGUAUACCCAUUGGACUUUGGAAAAGGUCCCAUAUAAUCAAAACCCCAAACAUCAAAUGUUUCAAUGACAAGUGAAUAAUUAAUAGGCAUUUCCUGACGUUUACUGAUAUUACCUACUCUUUGACAUUCAUCACAAGACAGGACAAACUUACGGGCAUCCUUAAAGAGAGUAGGCAAUAAAAUCCGGAUUGCAAUACUUUGUGUGCAGUUCUAUCUCCCGCAUGGUGUCCUCCGUAAGCCUCAGAGUGACACUUCUGUAGGAUGUGUCCUUGUUCAUGCUCAGGUACACAACGUCUAAUAACACCAUCUACUCCUUCUUUAUAAAGGUGAGGAUCAUCCCAAAAGUAAUGUCUCAAAUCAAAGAAGAAUUUCUUCUUUUGCUGGUAUGUGAAACUAGGUGGUAUAUAUUUGACAACAAUAUAAUUUGCAUAAUCAGCAUACCAAGGUGUACUACAUGAAGUAUUGAUGACAUUCAAUUGCUCAUCAGGGAAGCUAUCAUCAAUAAGUUGUGGGUCAUCAAGAACAUUCUCCAACCUAGACAAGUUAUCUGCUACGGGGUUCUCAGCACCCUUCCUAUCAACAACAUGCAAAUCAAAUUCUUGUAGCAAGAGAACCCAUCUGAUAAGUCUAGGUUUAGCAUCUUUCUUUUCCAUGAGAUACUUGAUAGCAGCAUGAUCAGUGUGAAUAGUAACUUUGGAAUCCACAAUGUAAGAUCUAAACUUUUCACAUGCAAACACGACUGCUAAAAAUUCCUUUUCAGUAGUAGCAUAGUUUCUUUGGGCACUGUCUAGAGUUUUACUAGCAUAGUGAAUAACAUUCAAUUUCUUAUCAACUCUUUGUCCUAGAACAGCACCAACAGCAUAAUCACUAGAUCACACAUAAUUUCAAAAGGUAGGUUCCAAUCAGGUGGUUGAACAAUAGGUGCAGUUAUUAAGGCCUUCUUAAGUAUUUCAAAUGCUUCUUCACAAUCAUCAUCAAAAACAAAUGGAAUAUCCUUUUGCAAGAGAUUGGUAAGAGGCCUAGAAAUCUUAGAGAAGUCUUUAAUGAUCCUUCUAUAGAAACCAGCACGACCAAGGAAACUUCUUAUACCUUUGAUGUCUGUAGGGCAUGGCAUUUUCUCAAUCGCAUCAACUUUAGCCUUAUCGACUUCAAUACCUCUUUCAGAAAUUUUAUGUCCUAAGACGAUGCCUUCAUUAACCAUAAAGUGGCACUUCUCCCAAUUCAAGACAAGGUUGGUAUCUUUACAUCUCUGCAAAACUCGAUCAAGGUUGCUCAGACAAUCAUCAAAAGAAGACCCGUAAACGGAGAUGUCAUCCAUGAAAACCUCAACAAUCUUUUCACAAAAGUCACAGAAUAUAGCCAUCAUACAUCUUUGAAAGGUAGCAGGUGCAUUACAUAAGCCAAAAGGCAUACGUCUAUAAGCAAAGGUACCGAAAGGGCAGGUAAAAGUGGUUUUCUCCUGAUCAGAUUGUGCAACACGUAUUUGGGAGAAACCAGAAUAACCAUCUAGAAAGCAGAAGUGUGUGUGUUUAGACAAUCUUUCUAGCAUUUGGUCAAUAAAAGGCAAAGGGUAAUGAUCUUUCCUAGUGGCUUUAUUCAAUUUCCUAAAAUCAAUCACCAUCCUAUAGCCAGUAAUAAUCCUCUGUGGGAUCGAUUCAUCUUUAUCAUUAGGGACAACGGUAAUACCUCCCUUCUUAGGGACGCAAUGCACCGGACUUACCCAAUCACUAUGAGCAACACGAUAGAUGAUAAUUGCUUCCAGGAGCUUUAGUAUUUCUUUUCUUACCACCUCUUUCAUCUUAGGAUUUAAUCUCCGUUGAUGAUCGGCAACUGGUUUGGAAUCAGGAUUGGUUUUAAUUUUAUGCUGGCAUAAGUGGGACUAAUGCCCUUAAGAUCAUCAAGAGUAUAUCCAAUAGCAACACGAUGCUUCCUCAGAGUUUUCAAUAAUUUCUUUUCUUCAUGCUCUGAAAGGCUAGCACUAAUAAUAACAGGAUAUAUCUCUUUUCCAUCAAGAUAAGCAUACUUAAGAGUAUCAGGUAACUGUUUAAGCUCAAACACAGGAUCACCCUUUGGUGGGGGUGGAUCUCCAAGCAGUUCAACAGGCAAAUUAUUCUUAAGGAUAGGAUGUUAUUCAAAGAUAACUCUAUCUAUCUCAUUCCUUUCAUCCAUAUGCAUAUCAUUUUCAUGCUCAAGCAAGUAUUUCUCUAAAGGAUCAGUAGGGGGCACAACAAUAGAAACUAGGGCAAUAAUUUCAUCCUUACUAGACAAUUCCUUUUCAUGAGGUUGUCUACCAAACUUGGAGAAAUUGAAUUCAUGUGACACACCUUCAAAGCCAAAGUGACAGUUUGCUUCGCACAGUCAAUAUGAGCAUUGACAGUAUUGAGGAAAGGUCUGCCAAAUAUGAUGGGACAAAAGCUAUCUUGUGUGGUAGCAAGAACGAGAAAAUCAGUAGGAUACUUAGUUUUACCACACAAGACUUCAACAUCUCUAACAAUUCCCAAAGGGAAGAUAGUAUCUCUAUUGGCAAGCUGAAUAGUAACAUCAAUAGAUUCCAUCUCGACAGGUGCAAUCUCGUAUUUAAUUUCAUCAUAUAAAGAUCGAGGUAUUGCACUAACACUAGCACCCACGUCACAUAAACCAUGAUAACAAUGAUCUCCUAUCUUAACAGAAACAACAGUCAUGCCAACAACAUGCCUAUGUUUGUCUCUAGCAUGAGGUUUAGCAAUUCUAGCAGCAUCUUCACAGAAGUGAAUAACAUGCCCAUCAACAUUCUCGGACAGGAGAUCUUUGAUAAUAGCAAUGCUAGGUUCAACUCUAAUUUUCUCAGGGGGUGUAGGUGUUCUAAUGUAGCCCUUACGUAUCACAGUUGGAGCUUUAGCAUGAUCCUUUAUUCUAACAGGGAAGGGUGGUUUCUCAAUGUAAGCACUAGGAACAAUAGGAUCAUUAUAAGAAAUGACUUUCUCUUCAACUGGAUUGGGUUUUACUACAUUGACUUCUAUGGAAGGAUGAUAUUUAAACCACUUCUCCUUAGGGAGAUUAAUAUAAGCAACAAAUGAUUCACAUAAUGAAGCUACUAUCUCACAGUCAAGUCCAUGUUUAGCGCUAAAGUCACAAAAAGUAUUUGUUUCAAUGAAGGAUUUAACGCAAUCGAACUUAAGAUUCAUACCUGAAUCCUUACCUUCAUCAAACUCCCAAUCUUCAGAGUUGCGUUUAAUUCUUUCCAAUAAAUUCCAUUUGAAGUCAAUAUCUCUCUUCAUAAAAGAACCGGUACAAGAAGUGUCAAGCAUGGUGCGAUUAUCAUGAGAAAGCCGAGCAUAGAAGUUCUGAAUAAUAAAUUCUCUCGAGAGCUCAUGGUUGGGGCAUGAAUAUAACAUUGAUUUAAGACUCCCCCAAGCUUGAGCGAUACUUUCUCUAUCACGAGGCCAAAAAUUAUAAAUAUAAUUCCGAUCAUGAUGUACCAGAUGCAUAGCAUAAAUUUUUUUAUGAAAUUCCAAUUUCAAUCGGUUGUAGUUCCAUGAUCCAGUAUCGUCACAUAGCCUAUACCAUGUCAAUGAUUUAUCCCUCAAAGAUAAGGGAAAGACCUUCUUCUUGACCUCAUCCUCGGGCAAACCUGCAAACUUAAAUAAACCACAAACUUCAUCUACAUAGAUUAGAUGCAAGUUGGGAUGUGAUAUUCCAUCUUCUGUAAAAGGAUUAGCCAACAAUUUCUCUAGCAUACCCAAAGGAAUUUCAUAACAAAUAUUUUCAGUAGGUGCCGUAGGUUGAGGAGAAACUCCUUGUGCUUCCAUUCGAGGUGAAGAUACCCCAAACAAACUCCUCAAAGGAUUAGUUUCCAUAAUGACAAGUGACAAUAAACUUCAGCACACUAUAUAAAUGUUUCCUUACCAAAUUCCACUUACCAAAGGCGCUUCACUCCCCGGGAGCGGCGCCAUAAAAGUGUCUUGAUGACCCACAAGUGUAGGGGAUCUAUCGUAGUCCUUUCGAUAAGUAAGAGUGUCGAAGCCAACGAGGAGCAGAAGGAACUGACAAGUGGUUUUCAGCAAGGUAUUCUCAGCACGCACUGAAAUUAUCGGUAACAGAUAGUUGUGUGAUAAUAUAAUUCAUAACGAGUAGCAAGUAACAAUAGUAAAAAGGUGCAGCAAGAUGGCCCAAUCCCUUUUGUAGCAAGGGACAAGCCUGGACGAACUCUUAUAUGAGGUAAAGUGCUCCCGAGGGCACAUGGAAUUUCUGUCAAGCUAGUUUUCAUCAUGUUCAUAUGAUUCGCGUUCGCUAAUUUGAUAGUUUGAUAUGUGGGUGGACCGGUGCUUGGGUGUUGUCCUUACUUGGACAAACAUCCCACUUAUGAUUAACCCCUCUCGCAAGCAUCCGCAACUAAGAAAGAAGAAUUAAGACUAAGUCUAACCAUAGCAUUAAACUAGUGGAUCCAAAUGAGCCCCUUACGAAGCAACGCAUAAACUAGGGUUUAAGCUUCAGUCACUCUAGCAACCCAUCAUCUACUUAUUACUUCCCAAUGACUUCCUCUAGGCCCAAAUAAUGGUGAAGUGUCAUGUAGUCGACGUUCACAUAACACCACUAGAGGAAAUACAACAUACAACGCAUAAAAAUAUCGAACGAAUACCAAAUUCACAUGACUACUUAUAGCAAGACUUAUCCCAUGUCCUCAGGAACAAAAGUGACUACUCACAAAGCAAUAUUAUGUUCAUGAUCAGAGAGGUAUUGAAUAGCAUUAAGGAUCUGAACAUAUGAUCUUCCACCGAGUAAUCCAACUAGCAUCAACUACAAAGAGUAAUUAACACUACUAGCAACCUUACAAGUACCAAUCGGAGUCGCGAGACGGAGAUUGGUUACAAGAGAUGAACUAGGGUUUGGAGAUGAGAUGGUGCUGAUGAAGACGUUUAUGGAGAUGAGUCCCCUCCGAUGAGAGGAGUGUUGGUGAUGACGAUGGCGACGAUUUCCCCCUCCGGGAGGGAAGUUUCCCCGGCAGGACGGCCCUGCCACAGCUCUAGAUUGGUUCUGCUCAAGUUCCGCCUCGUGGCUGCGGCGAUUCCUCCCGAAAGCCUCUUCCUAAUUUUUUCUGGGACGAAACCCUCCUUAUAGCAGAAGAUGGUAGCCGGAGGGGCAACAGGGGGCCCACAAGCCACCCAGGCGCAGCCAGGGGGGUAAGCCGCGCCUGGCAGGCUGGUGGCUUCCGGGUGGCUCCCCUCCGGUACUUCUUCCGCCCAGUAUUUUUUAUAAAAACCAAACUAAUUCCUCGUUGAGUUUCACGGCUUUUGGAGUUGUGCAGAAUAGGUAUCUCAAACUUGCUCCUUUUCCAGCCCAGAAUUCCAACUGCCGACAUUCUCCCUCUUCAUGUAAACCUUAUAAAAUAAGAGAUAAAAGGCAUAAGUAUUGUACCGUAAAGUGUAAUAACAGCCCAUAAAGCGAUAAAUAUCAACAUAAAAGCAUGAUGCAAAAUGGACGUAUCAGGGUCCAACUUCUCCUCCACUAGCGGGGUCAGACUAAACUUCCCACCACCACUUUAUCAUGCCACCACCUACAUGGGUCCUUGGAGAUUUCUGAAAUUCUCUUAUGAGCCUAAGGCCCACUACUAAUUUCAAGAAUCCCCCACCAGAUCUCAAGGGCACAUUGUGUUCCCUCGUUCCAAUCAUUGUUUUAAUACACCGGCAUUUCAGUGAAGACAUGUUAAGGUUGAGCUUCACCUAGAACAAGUAGCUACACCCUUUUACAACUGAACAAUGGACUAUGCCUUGAAUUGUCAGUUUGGCGUAAAGAAGCUUCACCACAAGUCUAACUAAUACUAGGCUACCGAAGGAUGACCCCUCGGGUGGAGCAUAUUAGUCACACUCCUCGCCUAUUCAUGAGUUUACUAGAGAUCACCCCAAUCUCAUAGACUGUGACUAGCAGUCAGGCUCAUAUAGGUGUGUUCCUCCAAAGAUCGCUCUGUAGGACAGCAUCUUGCUUACACAUAAGCUUUAGAACACAUUAAGACAGUAGUCAUCCUACCAUACAGUAUCCGAGAGCAUUGCAUCUCCAACGGAGUGGGUUAGUAAAGUUACUCUCCUCAGUUCACCAUUGGCUUGUUUUCCCAGGUCCUACUUCACGGGAUCUCCGAUCAUAUAGGUUGGGUUACUGCCAUGGCAACUCAUGUGUGUCUCAUACCCAUCUCCCUCGAUGCACUAUCUAUCACAACACGUGAUAGCCCUUUAGUAAAGGGAUCUGCCAGAUUCUUAGCCGUUUGGAUGUAAUCCAACGCUAUCACUCCGGAGUUUCUCAAACGUCUGACAGCCUUCAAUCUCAUUCUUAUAUGUUUGUUGGACUUCAUAUUGUCCUUUGAACUCUUCACUUUGACAAUAACCAUCUGAUUGUCGCAAUUCAUAAGGAUAGCCGGAACCGGCUUCUCAACCACAUGUGAGUCCAUCAAAAGAUUUCGAAGAAAUUCUGCUUCGACACCAGAUGUGUCUAAUGAUGUUAGUUCUUCUUCCAUUGUCGAUCUCGUUAAGAUCGUUUGCUUGCAAGACUUCCAGGAAACAACACCACCUCCAAGAGUAAAUAUAUACCCAGUAGUGGCCUUCAUCUCAUCAGCAUUAGAGAUCCAAUUUGCAUCACUAUACCCUUCAAGUACCGAUGGGUAUCCCAUAUAGUGAAGUCUGUGGUUGACAGUACCUUUCAGGUAGAGCAUAAUUCUUUCAACAGCACGCCAAUGAACAUCGCCCGGGUUUACAAUAAACCGGCUAAGUUUGCUCAUAGAAAACGUGAUGUCAGGUCUUGUUGCGCUAGCUAGGUACAUAAGCGAACCGAUAAUUUGAGAGAAUCUCAAUUGAUCUAUAGAUGUGCCUUUGAACUUUCGAAUCAGCACACUAGGAUCAUAUGGUGUUUGAGAAAUUUUGCAGUCUAAAUAUCCAAAGCGACUCAAAAAUCUUCUCAACAUAGUGGGGUUGCAAAAGUGUAAUCCCGCCCUCAUCAUCUCUCAAGAGCUUGAUGUUCAAGAUAACAUCAGCCACUCCAAGGUCCUUCAUCUCAAAGUUUUGAGACAGAAAGGACUUAACCUCCUCAAUCACCUUGGGGUUGGUUCCAAAUAUCAGUAUGUCAUCAACAUACAAGCACAGUAUAACUCCUUCACCCCCACCAUGGCGAUAGUAUACACAUUUGUCAGCUUCAUUAACAGCAAAGCCAACAAAUGUCAGAGUUGUAUUAAACUUAUCAUGCCAUUGCUUAGGUGCUUGCUUCAAGCCAUAUAAAGAUUUCAACAACUUACACACUUUUCCUUCCUGACCAUCUAACACAAAGCCAUCUGGCUAUUGCAUAUAGAUUUCCUCGUCUAGCUCUCCAUUCAGGAAAGCUGUCUUAACGUCCAUUUGAUGAACAAGAAGACCAUGCGAGGUUGUCAAUGAGAGUAAUACUCAAAUGGUGGUAAGUCUAGCCACAGGUGAGGAAGUUUCAAAGAAAUCUUCUUCUUCUUUCUGGGCAUAGCCCUUGGCCACAAGCCUAGCCUUGUACUUUUCAACCGUACCAUCGGGCCUAAGCUUCUUUUUGAACACCCACUUGCAUCCCAAUGGUUUGCAACCAUAGGGACGAUCAAUAAUUUCACAUGUCCCAUUAGCCAUGAUGGAAUCCAUCUCGCUACGGACCGCAGCUUUCUAGUAAUCAGCAUCUGGAGAAGCAUACGCUUCUGAAAUGGAAGUGGGAUUAUCAUCCACUAGGUAUAUGUAACGACCAAGAUGCGGUCCUUUCCGAUCUGGGGGUCGAGGCCUCCGAAUAGGAAAGAAGCGCAUCUAAGCGUUUCGCAAGCAAGUAACAUAGCACAAAAUAAUAAUACAAGUAGACAAUUCGGGAUUCAACUGUCUUCUUAUUAAUAACUCGGAGUACAACACAGAUACAAACAAGGUAGUUCCGGUAUGGACUACAAAACAUGGAAAAUGCUAUGCUACCCUGCUGCAGGCCCACGAUCACGACCAUGGCUCAGGCCUCUGGAUAGUUCACGUAGAGGCGGUGUGUCUCCUCGUCGUACUGCCACGCCAGCUGGGUGUCGUCGGGAUCAUCUAUCUCUGGGGUACCUGUACCUGCUGGGAGUUUCGGAGGAAUCCGUGAGCCACGGGGACUCAGCAAUCUAAGACCUUGGUGCCAGAACUAGUCAUGUUGUUGGGUAGGGAAGGGAGAAGUGUAUCAGGCUGCUGCAUCCUAUGUUUGAAUAAGUGGCUAACUUACGCAAAGUAGAAGGGAAGGUGGUCUAUGCUAACGGUCGGAGCUACUUGAUCAGUAAGUGAUCCUGAACACCUACCUACGACAUUCAUAACCCCACCGUGUUCUCGAUCGAAGAGGGAUCUUCGAAGGGACAGUCACGGUUACGCACACAGUUGGCAGUUUUACUUAUUUAAGUUUAAGUUCUCUAAUACCGGAUGUUAACAAAAUAUUCCAAGUUGCCACAUAACCGCGGGCACGGCUUUCCAAAAGAUUAAACCCUGCAGGGGUGCUCCAAGUAGUCCAUCACAAACGAACACAGGCCGCAAAGGCAUCCUCUAUCACGAAUCUCGUGAUCUCGUCGGAUUCCUUAGAAGAAAACCUCAACUCUGGGGAAAACCAAAGCUUCACGGGGAUUCCUAUAUGCAAGAUAUACCGCUAAGGUAAGGCAAGGCUAGCAGGACCUCCCGACGUGUCGACGACCCUGAUAAGAGCCGCGUAUCUCAGUCUCAGGACACGCCGGAUGAGUCACACUACAGGUAUACCAAACAUCAGGUUGCCCUGUGGUGGCCCCAUAGUCUGCCCAGUUUGGACCAACACUCAUGAGGAGCACUGGCCCGGGUUGUUGAUUAGAUCCUCGAUGUAGCUAUUCCCUAUGCAGUUUGUUAUUAAGUGAUUAGCAAAUUAACACCAAUGUUGGGUCCUGCCGGACAAGCCUUAGCACUACGCGAUUUAUCAAGGGGGUCCCCAUAACAACCCCGAACGUGUUAGGAGCGAUCAUUAUGGAAUCACACACCGGUAACCGGUAACUAAGGCGGCAAUAACGGAACAAAGCACCCGGCAAAAGGCUAGGCCUCCCGUCAUUUACCAAGUAUAUAGGUGCAUUAAAUGAAUAACAGAAUUUAAUAUAAUGAUAUCAAGCUCAUGUCAUCACAUGAGUUUAAAACACCUGCAACUAACAAUGCUAACAUUAGUAGCUGAGCAAGCCUACUUAGCCACACAAGUUUGCUAGGAAGGAGUACGGUGUUUGGGCUCAUGGAAUAUGAAGAGGCAAUUUAAUUUCAGUGGUAGGCAGCGAGCAAUAUGACAUGGAAACGAAACUAACAUAACAAGUCUAGAGAUGGAAUCAAGGUCAUAUCAUCUUGCCUGUGAUAUCCUCAGCUUGGAAUGGUUCUGGAUCGUCCUGCACGUACUCUCCUGACUCCACGUAUUCGUUCUCCGCUCCCGGUGCUACCCAACAUAAGAAUGAUAGCCAAUGAACAGCAGCACCACAAGAUGCAACAAUCACAUGAUGCAUGAGAUGAAAGUUGAGCAUGCACCACUAUUUCUAUCAAUAGCACAAGCAAAAUAAACUACUACAAGUUUCUGGACAGAACUGUGCACUAAGCUAUUUUGACAUGCAUGGGAAUGACAUGAACAGAUGCGGCUCGUGAAAACGGUGCAAAACCAUAUAAAGAACUUUGCAAACGGAGCUACGGAUCAACGGGAAUCAACGAAACAAGAUAUGAAGCUCUACGCGGAAGUUUCAACACCACACUCACAAUUGGCACAAAUCUGGUAUUCCCAAGUUGUCAAGACAUGUAAUAACCCAACAUGAAUGGAUUCGAUCAAGGAAGAACACCACAACACCAUCUAAGCACACACAAAGAUUAAAAUGACAACACUACAUAAUCUGCCAUAAUCUGCAUCUUAGCUCCUUGGGAGCUGCAUGCAACAUAGCUAUAGGUCUUCAAACAUGACAAACAAUAUAUGUGGCUGUUGCCAACCAAGAACACUACAAGCACCAGCAAGAAUCACAGCAAAAGGAAUUAAACUCUAGAAGAUACAAGGCCACAAACUUUCCCAAAACCAUCAGAUCUCAGGGACUUAGUGCACCUGAGUUUCUGUCUCUGUUCUGAAGCUUUUUGACAGCAAUAAAAACACAACCUACUCGACUCCAAAUGUCUUAAAAAUUGACAGGAAGCUUCACAAACAUACCAGGUUCAAAAUCCUAGCACUGAACUAAGGCUAGUUCUCAACAGAAUGACCAGCACGUCCUCAUCUAAAGGGGAAGAAAAUGUUUUCAGAAUCCCAGACUUAGUGAAAUUUCAGAGUUCACUAAUCUGGAAUUUUUCAGCCACAAGCCCACUUUGUCUAGGCUUAGUUUGCACACACAUAACACCAAGAGGUAAUUGACACCACUAUGGUGUAGAGCAAAACCCCUACUACUAACACACAAAAACUCAUGCCCUUGGGCUCCACCUAUUCCAUGGAAUCAAAGACCAAUCUUGCAACAAAACUGAAUAUGCACUCCAUAAAGUACCCUUCUAAGAUAACAACUACAUAGGAUGAGUUCAUGUGCACAAUGACAAAGUGACAUGGGGGUUUGAACCCCAUGUUUGUGUCAUGCACAUCAACAACACCAAUGCUUAUCACAAGUCAACCCCACACACACAACAUGCUCUCUCUCAUAUUAAACAUGAGGAGGUGCACAACUUGCAAAGGUGGGAAGGUCCACACACACACACAUCUCAAGCAUAACAUAAAGCUAGUCCUACUCAACCUAGUUAGAACAUACAAUAGCUACACUCCCAUCAUGAAUCCAACACCAUCACACCCAAGCUUGCUCAUGUGCACAUCAAGGCACAUCAUGCCUUGUCAUGGGUGAGGCUCUCACAAACAUCAAACACACUAGCAUCACUUGGAGCAAGAACCCAACUCCAAGCAUAAGGGAAACACACUCACAUGCACAAACUACCACCACCAAGGCUUAAAUCUCAAGGAUUUAUGCAAUUGCACAAGCAUGUGUGUAGGGUUACACACACACUUGCACACACACUCAAUAUCAAGCACAAACUCACACACACAUGAAUCUACACCACUACUACUAUCAUACAAACCCUACAUACAUGCCUUCUCUCACACCUCCAUCAAACAACAGGGAUGUUUUAAAAAAAAAUAUAAGGCAAUGGAACCCCAUUGAUCUAGGCAUGGAGUAGCACACAAGGCAAGGGAAAACAACAAAAAAAUAGCAAGAAAGAAACAGGAAAAAGAAUUGGGUCUCUCUGGGAUUCGAACCCCAGAGCCCCUGGUUCCACACCCACACACAAUUCCACUGCGCUGCUGCUACGGCUGUUGACGAGGGAGGUGGAACAAGCAGGGUAAGGUUCCCUACAGAGCACAAAACCGCAAACAAUACAACCUAAAAAAGAAAGUGCCAAGGGGGGGGACUCGAACCCACGCCCUCCUACAGGCACCACACACACACUAUCACUACACUACGAAUCGGCGUCUGAACUACUACGCGCUGCCAAACAUAAGAGGACAACCCCCUGCUCAUCUGCUACCGGAGACUGACCGGAACAGGGGAGGGUCUCGCCGGCGCUGCGAGCCGAAUACAACUCCGGCUCGUGGAGGGGAGGAAGUCCACACCCACAUGAACCCAUUCCAAAACCUAACUACUCCUGAGGGCCGCUACAACGGCGUGUCGACGGUGACCAGCGGCUCCGGCGACAGAGGCACGCGCGCAACGAACCUAUAGCUACGGUGCUCGAACUAGCACAAGAAGGAGGGAGGAGGAGUACUGGCUUACGUACGGGACGAUGAAGAAGCGUCCGAAGAGGAAGUAGCAGGAAGAAGGGCGCGUGGCGGCGGAGCUCGUCGGAGAAGGAGGGCCUCCGGGAGGAAGAUGAAGCGGAGUCGGGGACGACGAUCUAGCGGCGGGAACGAGCCCGUGGAGAGGCCCGCGAGCUCCUGGACCUCUCGACGUGGAGGAGGAGGUGCCACAGCGACGACGGUGACCUCCUUCACCCAUCGGCCAUGGUGGAUCCGCCUCGCUUACCUUACUGCGACGCUGCAGAGAGGAGGGAGGUGAGAUCUGGGUGGAGCGGCGGCGGAAGGGGGAACCCUAGCCAAGGCACGCACGCCAAGGGGCUUUAUAGGGAGAGAGGGCACCCUCCCAACACUUGAAAUAAGUACCGGUAAACUUAUCCGGUUUCAGUGCAGCAGCAAAACCAUUACCCGAAACAUUCCUACACAAAUUAGGUUUUUGGAUUGUUGAGUAAAUAGACAAUUUUUCGAGUAGAUUAAUCCACGAGAUAAUAACUAGCAUGGCGUUGACUAGACUAAUGCCAUACUGAUCAUGAACUAAUCUAGCACAUACUACGCAUAUAGUUGAUACAUCUAUGCAUGCAAGUAGUACUGCUAGGAACGAAAUGAACAUGCGUGCGAUAAAUAGGUUAUACCCUCCGGUCAGCAACUUGGCCGUAGCAGCAGCGUUGGCGGCGGCAACAUCCUCUACCGCCUUCUUCUCAGCUUCAAGGGCGAGAUAAUCAGCCUCGGAUGGUUCAGCCAUGGUGAUGACGAGGACGACGUGGAUGUAGAGGAAGCAGACGGACGGAGGCAAGCAGCCGCUUGAUCGCUCCCCAAAAACCUAAUCGCCCCUCUCCCAUACAGGAACAUGAGAGGCGGGGUUUCGGAGGCCUGCUCUCCCGUCGACCGUGUGCACGGUGAACGGGACGGAGUUGGCGGCGCCAGCAACAACAAAGGUACGAGCGCGUGAGGCAGAGGCGAUCUGAUCUCAUGACAACUAGGGUUGGCGUUAGCCCUGCUUAUAUAGGCGGCCGGGCGGAGAGAUGUGGGCUGAACCCACGUCCGAGUCGGUAACAGCCCUGACCGACAAAAAUAAGCGCGUAGGUAUGAGCUCGGCUCGGCUCAUUCCCGCAACCCGCGGCGCGUCUAGGCGGGCGACGGAGGAGGAGUGCGCGAGGAUCUCUUCUCUUCUCACUCUUUAAUAGCAUGUAGAAGAUAGACCCUUAUAAAGGGGUCCAACUUCUCCUCCACUAGCGGGGUGGGACUAAACUUCCCACCACCACUUUGUCAUGCCACCACCUACAUGGGCCCUUGGAGAUUUCUGAAAUUCUCUUAUGGGCCUAAGGCCCACUACUAAUUUCAACAGAUAGAUGUCGGUUCUCGAGGUCAUGCCGGUGAUACUUCUGGUAGAAAGGCAAUCGAUCGGAGUUUGUGGCGUUGUUGCUGAAGAUUGCUCUUUAUCUUUCUAAUGGCGUGGAUGUGGCGGAUAUGAAGGUCGUCUGCCAAAUCUUGGAGUCCAUCUCUACUACUUUCGGCAUCGACUGGUGUUGGUGGCAGUGCGAUGUUGCUUUGCCAUCCCUUCCCCAACACCUGUAGGGUUGUUGAGUUGAGGUCAUUUGGAGUCCAUUGCAAUCUUUUAUCUUCUUUCAGGAUCCUCCUUACGUAUGUCAAAGACUUGGUUGUAAUUUUGGUUCCUUUGUGUCCUUUUGUAAGCUUUGUUCAUGUGGCAUAUCCAACUGAGCGUAAUUCAGAUGGUUAAGUUCCUUGUGUUGAAACCAUCCCAAAAAUUAAACACGGAUGCUCGCAUUCUCUAAUUUAUUAGUCUUCUUGACAAGGUGUGCGUACGUGCAUUCACACUUGGAAGACCAAUGGGCAGUUAUUUCCUUCUCAUUGUUUUGUUUCCUCACACAACAAUGGGAGAAAGAAACGAACCACACGACACACACAGAGAGACCGAAAUACCAUUAGGCAUAUCACGGCACUAGAUAACCACGACACGUAGAGACACAAACAUACCAACUGAUGUAUGUGGAAAUGAAAAGCGGUUUAGAGCGUCUACAGUCGGAUCCCUCAUAUACAUCUUAAACGAUCGGGCAGGCCAUCCGAUAGCUAAUUGGUCACAAAAUUUUGAUUCAAUCAGGCGACUCAAAGGGACCUCAAACGCUUGGGUUGUCCAGCACCCCUCAUCGGAUAUCGGGUGUCCGGGUGUGUCCGGACAUGCCCGUCAUGUCGGCUUGAUCCGUACUGACCCGCAUCGACUUCACAUAUAUUCGUCCGCAUCCGCUCACAGGACCAAACCCUAGCCACUUCACUCAACUCCCCUUCACUCCCAUAUGCCAUCCAAGUUCACCUCCAACGAUCUCCGGCCUUUUUCGACAUAGAGGGCAACGGAUCCGAGUCUUUCACCUCCAGAUCCGUCGACUAUGAACUCAUCUCACGCGGUCCCGACAUGGGCACGUGAGCCGAUCAAUGUUCCAUGUCCUACUCUACCUCGCCGACGACAGGACUGGCACUACAAGGGGCGCAGCCCGCCAGACAUGGGCACAACGGAACUGAACGAGCUCCACUUGUAUUAGGUUUACGUUACAUGUAAUAAUAUAGAUUUAAGAUUUCUAAUUUAAAAUAUUUAAUUAUAUAUUGCAUUAUUUAAGAUAUGAUCGGACAGUGUCCGCUGACACAUCCAAUGGCAUUUGAGGGAUCGGAUUUGUCAAGUACGACCAUAGCUCGUAUGCCCCGGAUGAACAUGUACAUGCACCACACGACAUGACCACCACCUGACCGCACGGGUUUGAGAAAAUAUCCUGCUUCAUCUGUCCUGAAUUAUUUGUCUUGGAUUUGUCUAGACACAUUUUAGUGUUAGAUAUGUGUGUAUCUAUAAAAAUUUAAGACAAGUAAUUUGAGACGGAGGUAAUAAUAUUCAGUGAAUUUUGGCCUAGGUGUCCUUUUGACAUGUUGCCCACUAAUUCUCCAUAGAGCAUUUAUCUGAUAAUCAUUCAUAUAUUUAUUCUCUAUUUAUAAUCCGUUAAACAUGUAGGAAAUUGCAGGUGAACCUCCACCAGUCCUAUUUCCAUAGUUGACCAUAAAUGCUUUCUUCGUUAUGUUAUGUUUUGUCCUGUGCAUGCUUGCCACCAUUAGUUUCUAGCAAAAAAUGAGAAAACUACCACAGGGCAUCCACCUCUUGUAUGAUUCUCACUCCGAUACAAAAUAAGUGUCGUGCUUUUACUUUAAAUUUAUACUAAAACCAUACCACUUAUUUUGAAUUGGAGGGAGUAUAAAACUAGAAGAAAUACUUGCAAGAGUGCUAUCUAUUUCGGCCUGGUGCACCUUUUGGGUUUGAGUCAACGCAUUGCAUCCUCUUGGACCAUCUUAUCCGGAGGUGUCUCCGAGGCCUUUUUUUUAAUAUACAUAGUAUGUGAGUAUUUGAUGCAUACUUGAUACUCGUCUAUUUAGCUAAGGAAUGAUCCCGCAAAACAAAAAGGAAAGAGCCACAAGGACUGCCGAACUGCUCGUUGUCUCUCUAUCCAUGGUUCUGGUCAGGUCACUAGUGGUCUUUCAACAAGUUUCGUUGUUCGCUUGUAUAUUUUAAAAGAUGUAGCAAAGGAUUGUUGUGAGUUUUUCUGAAGUAAAUCUACUGACAUUUUUUCAUUUGACCAAUCACAAUGUACUUUUGAAAUAUCGAUGGUCAAAGUUGAGUGGUACUCAAAACUAUAUUUCAAAUGAUAGUUCACUAAAAUGUGUGAGUUACCCUGCUAGUUUAAUUUAAUCAGAACAAAAGAAUGGUCCAGUUUAUGGGUCCGCUACAGUUAUGCAAAGGUUCUAAAACAACUGUAUCCUUAUAUUCUAAUGGGGAUGUUAGUUUUAAACUAUAGCUAGCUGUCAAAGAGUAAUUAACAAUAUUCCAUUCUGAUCAAUCAUUCGAGCCGCCCUCGCGCCAAUCAUUGACCAUGAUUACUGUUGGUCCCUAGUGACCUUUCUUUUGCUUCCUAAUGAUGGCACAUGCCAACUUAAACCAUAAAACCUAACUAGCAUACUCAUCUUUAUUAUCAUGCCUCCAGUUAAUGGAUUCCAUGAUGCACUCCUACUGGUUAGGGAGAAUGUACCAACAUUUUAUCGCGCAUUGUUAAUAUUUCAAAGUACGAUCAAGGCUGGGGUGGCGUCGAGUAAUGAGGCCAUGCUCUGGUUGCUUGGCCAAAAGCAAGUGGUUUCUUUGGCCUACAGCAAUGAAAAAAAUGUGCCAAUUGCAUUUAAACAAUCUUGCAAAAUGAUCACGCAAUUAUCGUAUCAAUCAUCAUAAGAGAGAUAAGAAUAUGCCCUACCGGUACGCCAUGUUACUUUGAGUGGUAUUUGUUGGCCUCCUAGUUUGUGCUCUCGCAAAAAAAGUUUUGUGUUGUGGUGGCCCUUAUAUGAGCUACUCCGUUCUUAUGAGUACAUUCUUAUAUGAAAUACUUAAAAGUCCAUGUAUUCGACUAGAAAUCAUCCUUGGGACAUUUGUUUCGUUCAUCGGAUGUUUCAACUCUCCGUUUAGAAAUAUAAAGCGCCUAUACUGAAUUUCUAAUUUUAGUAGAACAUUCACAUGGAGAAAACAACUCCAAUUCUUUCACAAUGUUUCUAUUAGGCAGAGCUGGCAAUGUUUUUCAAAAAUGUGUUGCAUAAUGCCUCCAAAAUAAGUCUAUUUUAGUGAAUAUGAUGUACCUAAAAUUUGGUGGACUUCCACAAUCUGGAUGAUUCGUGAGAUAAUAACCUAUAACUAUGAGUUUUUUUCACGGUGAAACUACUGAACUUUCCCACGGUGAGAAGUAACCUCUAUUAGCUCAAGAUAGCUACACUAGCGAUCAAUAUAAUUUGUUGUAGAAACACCAAUUAUAAAUCUAAGGCCUCCUUUGGUUUGUAGGAAUUCUAGACGAUACGAUUCCUAUAAGGAAAAAAAAUAUCUUUAGAGCGAUUUCGUUUGUAGGCAACAGUUCCUACUCCUAUUUAGAAUUGGUUUCUAUCGUUCAUGUUUCUAAAAUUAAAAAUAAUAGCUCGGACAUAAUGAAAAAAAUUGUAUCAUAUGAAAAAUAAAAUCACUUUUCCUAUAUGAACUGAGAUACAUGCCACCUCAGUUUCUAUAUUUUUCCUAUUCCUAUGAUGUUUCUAUCCUAUCAAGAGUAAACAAAAUAUUGACAAGACAAAUAUGAACAUCCAUUUCAACAUUGUCAGUUUAUACACUAGUUCUCGUAAUUCUGAAUUGUCGACUGCAAGACCUCGGAUAUCUUACACAUAAUAUUUAGUUCCAAUUUAUCUUAGAGUUUGAAUGAUAUGUCUUCCUCGGCCGCCUCCGACUGUUCCGCCUCUACUUCAGGCCCCGUCGCCUCUUCAUUUGUCUGUCGCACUGUUAAGUUGGGGUGCCAUCACGAAAAAUAAAGCCUUCACCAGAGGGACACUUACUACCUCUCGCUUGUUGCCAUUGGUCAUCACCCUCUCUCCAUUGAACCAUCGCCCCUCCCCUCCCCCCCCCUUCCCCUUCAUGUUAUCCUUUUAUGCCAUAGCCCAAAUUUCAAUGAGAAUUCCAUAAAAUCGGUUAUUUGGUGGAUACUAAAAUAUUUCCGAACUAUAUUUUUUGGGCCGCAUUCAAAUUAACUUCAAACCAAAUUUAAAUUACAUAAAAAAUAUAUUAUGUAAGCUUUGGCAAAUCAGGUUGGAGAAAAUAUCUUGAAAUAUCAUAUAUUACAAUGAUGUCUAAUAUAUUUAUGUUACCGAAAUUUAAACCUUUCCCCGGUUUUCCCACGCAAUUACCUUGUUCAUCCUGGUCUUCCUCGUCCUGCAGCCCAUCACUCCUGCAUCAGACAUGAACAAAGGUGCCUCAGCGCCAUAACCAUAAGACCAAACUUCUAAUAUUCACCCCUUAAAGCAUCUCCAACAGCCGCGCUAAAAAAAACACUCUUUUCCACGUGCACAGCCGUUCCGGGCUCUCCAGUGGAGGCGCAAAAAACGCGCACGUGGCAUAAAUUGUUCAGCGCGUGGGACGAAACGGCAUCGUUCGUCGCUUAUUUCGAGCACCCACUCCCACACUCUGGACAGCGACGAUUCGCAGGCGGCUUCCACCCAGCACUAGACCCAAGCACUGGUGUCGCCGCCCGCGCCAUGCCAUUUGCUCCGGCGACUCGACGACGCUUUCCCGGCCUAUCCCGCACCGCCGCGGCUUUCUCCGUCUCCCUCUACCCGCCGCCGCCCCUCGCGUGCGCCCUUCCCCCGACGAACAACGUCCGGCCGCCUACUGUCGCUCGACGCCCACAAGGUGUUCGCAUGCAGUCAGAAUUGUACAAGUGUUUGGCCCAGAGUAUUUGAGAUCUUUCAAUGUUGAAUACGUCGCAAGGCUAUUGGAGAUGAACAAAGCUCGUAGGUUUCCAGUUAUGUUUGGCUCAAUAGAUUGCAUGCAUUGGAGUUGAAAGAGUUGUCCUAAGGCAUGGCAUGGACAAUUCCACGGCCAGAAACAUGAUUUCACUAUAAUCCUUGAAGCGGUGGCCGAUCAAGAGACUUGGAUUUGACAUGCUUUUUUGGAAAUGCCUGGAUCUUUGAAUGACAUCAACACUGUUAGUCGGUCACCACUUAUAAAUAAGAUUGCAAAUGAUGAACUGCCACCGGUGGAGUUUGUAGCAAAUAGUCAUACAUACAACUAUGACUACUAUCUUGCGGAUGGCAUCUACCCAAAGUGGCAAACAUUUGUGAAGCCGUUGAAAAAACCGGAAGGUAAGAAAAAUCUAGAUUUUCACGAUGGUCAGGCGGCGGCUCGGAAAGAUGUGGAGAGAGCUUUUAGAAUUUUGCAAGCUCAAUUUUCUAUUGUGAGAGGACCGGUGAUACAUCAUCCACACUUGUGUGAUCAUGCAUAACAUGAUCAUCGCGAAUGAGCGUGACCAAAAUUUAGACUACUCUCAGUAUGAGUUAUUGGGACAUCCCACGCGAGUGCGUCAGAGUGCUGCUCGGGUGGCCCGAUUUGUUGCCUCUUAUCAUGUCAUUCGACGUCCCCAAACGCAUAUAAUCUUCAGAAGGAUCUAAUCGAAGAGUGGUGGACAUGGAAUGAUCGAAUAAAUGAAUGAUGAUUUGUAUAUUUGAUUUGAUGUUGUAGUCUCGAACUAUUAUUGUAUUGGAAAAUAAACUAUGUGUCAAUAAUUGAAUUAUUAAUUGUUGAUAAUUUUUUACGUGUAUGUUUCGUCAUAUGUUACUUGUGUUGGACGCGCACGCCCCGUUUUUUUAGACGCUGGAGCGGCUCGUGCCGGCAAUUUUUUGUGACAGCCGCUAGAACCAGCACUUCCCCGGGGCGUUAAAAAUCAUAGUUUCGACGCUUCAAAAUGUUUUUAGCGCGUACCGAUUACGUGGCUGUCGGAGAUGCUCUUAGAUUACUAUUGCAGCCAUAAGAUCAUGCAGACAUGAAGAUCAAAAAUAAUAGUGGGCGUUACCUCCCAAAAAUAAUAAUAGGGGCGUCAGACCCGCGUGCAAUGCAUACAUGGAGAUGAGAGCGCGGAGCUAAGCUAAGCUAAGCUAAAUUAUAUGCAUGCGUGGCAUAGUUAUAAUGCUGGUAGCAGAAAGCAUGCGUCAAAAGGGAAUCGAUCAAGGCCGUAGGCGCCGCUCGGUCGUUGCCGCGCCAUUUUUCUUAUGCUGCUCCGAUCCAACUUGCAUGCCCUCCAUCGCCCGGCACGGUUCCUCCCCAUGUGCCAGCGCUCAAUAAUGGAACCUCGUCCGCGCCUAUAUAUGCCUCCGCCCGCAGGCUCGCUUGCUCCCCAUGCUUCCCACAGCCCACAGCUCACUCACUAGCUCGUCUGUCACCGGCCGGUUGGUUGGUUAACUUCGCUGCCACCUUAGCUCACAGCUCACAUGGGCCUCGACGUGCUCACGGCGAGGGACCAGCCGUCGAGGUGCCGGUACCAGCGGCUCCGCGGCGAGCUCUGCAACGACGACGACGGCGGAGACGAGGAGGUGGUGGCGUCGGCGUCGGCCGCCAGGUGGGCGAGGGCGNCGCGCUCUCCCACUCCGCCGGCGGCGGCGCCAGCCGCACCGCCAGGCUGCGCGCUUUCUACCUCGAGAGGAGCCUCUCCGCCGGCGGCUCCCCCUGCUGACCGUCUCAACUACGUACACGCCAUUGACAGCGCGCGUGCAGCUGGUCAUCAACUCAUCAUGCAUGAGCAUGAGCAUGAGCAUGGGCCAUGAGCUAGCAAAUCGUGUUCCCGAUACUGUAAUCAUGCGUUGCAUGUAAGGCUCCUGUUCCUGUAGCUGACUGGCUGAGUCACGCGUGCACAUGGCUUGGCAACAAGAAUGUCGCCGGCUCGCUGUAGCUGUACUGCCGAAUGCUUUUGCGUACGUUAAUUGAGGCAACUUGCGAUUCGUUUUUUGGAGGGGGGGAAAUGCAUGAGACCGUGCUGUGUACGUGCUGCACUGCUGCUGGCUUUAACUUGUUUGGUUGACAUUCGGUGAAAUCGUCGAUCCAUGAGCAGGAAACCAAGGAUGUACAGAGCAAGCACACCACGACACAAUUACGUCACGUAAGGGAUGGCUUUUAUCACCUCUCUCUCCUCUCCCAGGCCGCACGCCGACUCCGGGCCUCGCCGCCGGCGACACCCAGCGCGUCGGAGGGGGUGAUCGUGGGUCGCGUCCAUGUGCUGCUGCACGGUUGCCGUGUAUCGCAGCGGUCGUCGACCCCGGGGUUCUCGGGCCUAGGCACGGGUCACAGUCUAUGGCUGGACCUGGGUGCGAG
Molecule: long non-coding RNA, 43369 nt
Filed under: Hordeum vulgare
Lineage: Eukaryota; Viridiplantae; Streptophyta; Magnoliopsida; Poales; Poaceae
Description: long non-coding RNA (HVUL_LNC003133)
Source: RNAcentral